Non-coding RNA from Carica papaya (papaya), 1187 nucleotides. NCBI's taxonomy places the organism in Eukaryota, Viridiplantae, Streptophyta, Magnoliopsida, Brassicales, Caricaceae. The record is from RefSeq and is a predicted model, not a curated record.
CUUUUUCUUUUCUUUCAAUCAAAAUGCGAAUCUCGUAUUUGCUUGUUUCCUUUUAACUUUCUUGAUCGAACAGCAAUCUUCAUCUGCUUGGGUUUUGGGUUUCUUGCAGCAAUUCAGAAUGACCCAUUUUCCUUGAUCUUUAAUGCUUUCUUUUCUAUCAUCUUUUGGAGGAAAUGAACCGACUCUUUUGAGAUUUCUUCGACGUUUAUUCCUUGACAAAGUAUUGAGUUCUGGGUUAAUCCUUCUUGACAUUUUUCUUCCUUCUGGAUAAUCUAACUUCAUUUCUUUGGUUACUCCUCUGAGCUUUCUUGGCGGUUAAACGAUUCUGUUUCAGUCUUUUGGAACAAUACAUAUGGAUCUUUACUUUUAGACAAAUUUUUCUUUUGUCUGAGCAGAUUGGCUAUAGAGACUGAAAGUUGCUGUCCAUACACAAGUAAUGAAGGCAAAUCUUUUUUGGGACACUAUUGAACAAUAUGAGAAAAUCUUAUGGGUAACCCUAGUUGUAGACUUUCAUAUAUUCUAAAUUGCUCCCCGCGGUUUUCAAGUGUUACACAAGAGCAGUCAAGAUAAGUUGAUUAUCAGAUGUCAAGCAUAAUGAAAAAUCAAGUUUUUUCGUUGUUUUGUUUAGCAAAUAAGAUUUUUCUUUUGUCUGAGCAGAUUGGUUAUAGAGACUGAAAGUUGCUGUCCAUAUACAAGUAAUGAAGGCAAAACUUUUUUGGGACAUUAUUGAACAAUAUGAGAAAAUCUUAUGGGUAACCCUAGUUGUAGACUUUCAUAUAUUUUAAAUUGCUCCCCUUGGUUUUCAAGUGUUACACAAGAGCAGUCAAGAUAAGUUGAUUAUCAGAUGGCAAGCAUAAUGAAAAAUCAAAACUUGGGUAUUCAGAAUACUUCAAAUAAGGAAAAGAAGAAAAUGAAGAGAACUGGAAAGGAGAGAAAGCCAGCAAAAGGAGCCCCUAAUCAUCUGACUCAUACAACACAAUCAAAAUUUCAGGCAGCUAAUGCAAUGCAAUCCUGUCAGAUAACAAAGGAGGAUAUCCCAACAAGUGGUAAAGCUAACACUAGCAUUAACCAUUCAAAUACAGGCAUUCAAGGGGAAGAAGAUACAAAAGUGAACAAGACUAGCAACGAGACCUACAUAUGGAAAGGGAAGGAGAGCGAUCACCUGGCGGAGCAAACGAGUCAGAGGA